This 460-nucleotide ribosomal RNA is filed under the name uncultured bacterium. RNAcentral's name for it is "partial 16S ribosomal RNA". It matches the Rfam family "Bacterial small subunit ribosomal RNA", at positions 338 to 795 of the family's 1533-position model. The record is from RNAcentral.
CCUACGGGAGGCAGCAGUGAGGAAUAUUGGUCAAUGGACGAGAGUCUGAACCAGCCAAGUAGCGUGAAGGAUGACUGCCCUAUGGGUUGUAAACUUCUUUUAUAUGGGAAUAAAAUGUUCCACGUGUGGGAUUUUGUAUGUACCAUAUGAAUAAAGAACGGCUAACUCCGUGCCAGCAGCCGCGGUAAUACGGAGGAUCCGAGCGUGAUCCGGAUUUAUUGGGUUUAAAGGGAGAGUAGGUGGAUUGUUAAGUCAGUUGUGAAAGUUUGCGGCUCAACCGUAAAAUUGCAGUUGAAACUGGCAGUCGUGAGUACAGUAAAGGUGGGCGGAAUUCGUGGUGUAGCGGUGAAAUGCUUAGAUAUCACGAAGAACUCCGAUUGCGAAGGCAGCUCACUGGACUGCAACUGACACUGAGGCUCGAAAGUGUGGGUAUCAAACAGGAUUAGAUACCCCUGUAGUC